AGCAGUAGCCGCGGGAAUACAGAGGGUGCGAGCGUUAAUCGGAUUUACUGGGCGUAAAGCGUGCGUAGGCGGCUAAUUGAGUCGGAUGUGAAAUCCCCGAGCUUAACUUGGGAAUUGCAUUCGAUACUGGUUAGCUAGAGUGUGGGAGAGGAUGGUAGAAUUCCAGGUGUAGCGGUGAAAUGCGUAGAGAUCUGGAGGAAUACCGAUGGCGAAGGCAGCCAUCUGGCCUAACACUGACGCUGAGGUACGAAAGCAUGGGGAGCAAACAGGAUUAGAGACCCGAGUAGUCCCUGUCUCUUAUAC
Molecule: ribosomal RNA, 303 nt
Filed under: uncultured bacterium
Lineage: Bacteria
Description: partial 16S ribosomal RNA
Rfam family: Bacterial small subunit ribosomal RNA
Source: RNAcentral